Molecule: ribosomal RNA, 995 nt
Filed under: uncultured bacterium
Lineage: Bacteria
Description: bacterial SSU rRNA
Rfam family: Bacterial small subunit ribosomal RNA
Source: RNAcentral
UGGGGGAUAUUGCACAAUGGGGGAAACCCUGAUGCAGCGACGCCGCGUGGAGGAAGAAGGUUUUCGGAUUGUAAACUCCUGUCGUUAGUGACGAUAAUGACGGUACCUAACAAGAAAGCACCGGCUAACUACGUGCCAGCAGCCGCGGUAAAACGUAGGGUGCAAGCGUUGUCCGGAAUUACUGGGUGUAAAGGGAGCGCAGGCGGGAAGACAAGUUGGAAGUGAAAACCAUGGGCUCAACCCAUGAAUUGCUUUCAAAACUGUUUUUCUUGAGUAGUGCAGAGGUAGAUGGAAUUCCCGGUGUAGCGGUGGAAUGCGUAGAUAUCGGGAGGAACACCAGUGGCGAAGGCGGUCUACUGGGCACCAACUGACGCUGAGGCUCGAAAGCAUGGGUAGCAAACAGGAUUAGAUACCCUGGUAGUCCAUGCCGUAAACGAUGAUUACUAGGUGUUGGGGGAUUGACCCCCUCAGUGCCGCAGUUAACACAAUAAGUAAUCCACCUGGGGAGUACGACCGCAAGGUUGAAACUCAAAGGAAUUGACGGGGGCCCGCACAAGCAGUGGAGUAUGUGGUUUAAUUCGAAGCAACGCGAAGAACCUUACCAGGUCUUGACAUCGAGUGACGUAUCCAGAGAUGGAUAUUUCCUUCGGGACACAAAGACAGGUGGUGCAUGGUUGUCGUCAGCUCGUGUCGUGAGAUGUUGGGUUAAGUCCCGCAACGAGCGCAACCCUUAUCAUUAGUUGCUACGCAAGAGCACUCUAAUGAGACUGCCGUUGACAAAACGGAGGAAGGUGGGGAUGACGUCAAAUCAUCAUGCCCCUUAUGACCUGGGCUACACACGUACUACAAUGGCGAUCGAACAGAGGGAAGCAAGACAGCGACGUGGAGCCAAUCCCAAAAAAUCGCCCCAGUUCAGAUUGCAGGCUGCAACUCGCCUGCAUGAAGUCGGAAUUGCUAGUAAUCGCAGAUCAGCAUGCUGCGGUGAAUACGUUCCC